This 18-nucleotide small nuclear RNA is filed under the name Arabidopsis thaliana (thale cress). Its description in RNAcentral is "snRNA_18486". Lineage: Eukaryota; Viridiplantae; Streptophyta; Magnoliopsida; Brassicales; Brassicaceae. The record is from RNAcentral.
UCUCGAUUGCGAUUGCAG